GAGAAAGUAAGGAAGGGCGCAUGGAGGAUGCCUAGGCUCUCAGAGGCGAGGAAGGACGCGAUAAGCUGCGAUAAGCCCCGGGGAUCGGCACAUACGAAUCGAUCCGGGGAUCUCCGAAUGGGGCAACCCGGCUGGUUGAAGACCAGUCACCUGUUUACAGGGGCGAACGCGGGGAACUGAAACAUCUAAGUACCCGCAGGAAGAGAAAAUAACAAUGAUUCCCCAAGUAGUGGCGAGCGAACGGGGAAGAGCCCAAACCAACCUUGUUACGGCAAGGUCGGGGUUGUAGGACCACGCCGUGGGACCAAGAAAUAAAGCUUAACUACCUGGGAAGGUAGGCCGCAGAGGGUGAUAGCCCCGUCAGCGAAAGGUUCUUGGCCCUAGUGGGAUCCUGAGUAGGGCGGGACCAGAGGAAUCCCGUCUGAAUCCACCGGUACCAUCCGGUAAGGCUAAAUACUCCUGAGAGACCGAUAGUGAACCAGUACCGUGAGGGAAAGGUGAAAAGAACCCUGAAUAAGGGAGUGAAAUAGAACCUGAAACCAUGCGCCUACAAGCGGUCGGAGCCCUUCUGUGGGGUGACGGCGUGCCUUUUGCAUAAUGAGCCUACGAGUUACUCCUCCCUGGCGAGGUUAAGUGUUUUAAAACACGGAGCCGCAGCGAAAGCGAGUCUGAACAGGGCGCACAGUCAGGGGGGGUAGACGCGAAACUUUGUGAUCUACCCUUGGGCAGGAUGAAGUUGCGGUAACACGCAAUGGAGGUCCGAACCAGUUUCCGUUGAAAAGGAUUUGGAUGACCUGAGGGUAGGGGUGAAAGGCCAAUCAAACUGAGAAAUAGCUCGUACUCCCCGAAAUGCCUUUAGGGGCAGCGUCGAGGUUGAGUCUCGUGGAGGUAGAGCUACCGAUAGGACUAGGGGGAGUCAAAUCCUACCGAAUCCUGACGAACUCCGAAUGCCACGUGACAUACUCGGCAGUGAGGCUUGGGGUGCUAAGGUCCCAGGCCGAGAGGGAAAGAACCCAGACCGUCAGCUAAGGUCCCUAAAUAUACGCUAAGUUGAACAAAGGAGGUCCAGUUGCCUAGACAGCCAGGAUGUUGGCUUGGAAGCAGCCAUUCAUUUAAAGAGUGCGUAACAGCUCACUGGUCGAGCGGCAGGGCAUCGAUAAUAAUCGGGCAUCAAGCGUAUUACCGAAGCUACGGAUUGCAGUUUACUGCAGUGGUAGGGGAGCAUUCCCGUCGGCGGAGAAGGUACCUGGCAAUGGGUGCUGGAGCGUCGGGAAAAGCAAAUGUAGGCAUAAGUAACGAUAAUGCGGGCGAGAAACCCGCACACCGAAAGACUAAGGUUUCCUGAUCAACGCUAAUCGGAUCAGGGUUAGUCGGGUCCUAAGGCCGAUGCGAGAGCUAAGGUCGAUGGACAACUGGUUAAUAUUCCAGUACUAGCGUGACUGAGUGAUGCGGUGACGGAGAAGUGAAAGGCCCGCCUGGUGACGGAAUACCAGGUUAAAGGACGUAGGUAUAGGCAUGGUAGUCAAGUACGCCAAGCCUGCUGAAACCCGAAAGUACCCCAAGCCCCCGGGCGAGGGGAUAGCGGCCCUAAUCAGACUCCCAAGAAAACCCGCUAAGCGUUUCAAAGGUCACGCUACCCGUACCGCAAUCCGACACAGGUAGUCGAGGAGAGAAUCCUAAGGUGCUCGAGUGAAUCACGGCCAAGGAACUCGGCAAAAUGGCCCUGUAACUUCGGGAGAAGGGGCGCUUCCUCUACGCAAGUAGAGAAGCCGCAGUGAAGAGGCCCAGGCGACUGUUUAACAAAAACACAUGGCUAUGCGAAAUCGAGAGAUGAGGUAUAUGGCCUGACACCUGCCCGGUGCCGGAAGGUUAAGGGGGGGAGUUAGCCGCAAGGCGAAGCUCUGAACCGAAGCCCCGGUAAACGGCGGCCGUAACUAUAACGGUCCUAAGGUAGCGAAAUUCCUUGUCGGGUAAGUUCCGACCUGCACGAAUGGUGUAACGAUCUGGGCGCUGUCUCAGCCGUGAGCUCGGUGAAAUUGUAGUCUCGGUGAAGAUGCCGAGUACCCGCUACGGGACGGAAAGACCCCGUGCACCUUUACUAUAGCUUAACAUUGACUCUGGGUAACUGAUGUGUAGGAUAGGUGGGAGACUGUGAUCCGGCGUCGCUAGGCGUCGGUUAGUCAACGUUGAAAUACCACCCUUCAGUUGCUUGGAGCCUAAUCCCUGCGUGGGAGACAUUGUUUGGUGGGUAGUUUGACUGGGGUGGUCGCCUCCAAAAGAGUAACGGAGGCUUUCAAAGGUACCCUCAGCACGCUUGGUAACCGUGCGCAGAGCGCAAUAGCAGAAGGGUGCUUGACUGUGAGGCCCACAAGCCGAGCAGGGCCGAAAGGCGGAUAUAGUGAUCCGGUGGUUCCGCAUGGAAGGGCCAUCGCUCAAAGGAUAAAAGGUACGCCGGGGAUAACAGGCUGAUCUCCCCCAAGAGCUCAUAUCGACGGGGAGGUUUGGCACCUCGAUGUCGGCUCGUCACGUCCUGGGGCUGGAGAAGGUCCCAAGGGUUCGGCUGUUCGCCGAUUAAAGUGGCACGCGAGCUGGGUUCAGAACGUCGUGAGACAGUUCGGUCCCUAUCUGUAGUGGGCGUCGGAUGUUUGAGGGGACCUGUCCUUAGUACGAGAGGACCGGGAUGGACGAGCCUCUGGUGGACCUGUUGUGGCGCCAGCCGCAGCGCAGGGUAGCUACGCUCGGAUGAGAUAAGCGCUGAAAGCAUCUAAGUGCGAAACUCACCCCAAGAUGAGACAUCCCUUUAAGGGCCGUGGGAGACGACCACGUCGAUAGGCGGCAGGUGUAAAGGCAGAGAUGCCAUAGCCGAGCCGUACUAAUUGCCCGAGAACUUUCCCGCC
RNAcentral lists this ribosomal RNA (2897 nucleotides) under Rufibacter latericius. RNAcentral describes it as "bacterial LSU rRNA". It matches the Rfam family "Bacterial large subunit ribosomal RNA". Lineage: Bacteria; Pseudomonadati; Bacteroidota; Cytophagia; Cytophagales; Hymenobacteraceae. The record is from RNAcentral.